This 484-nucleotide ribosomal RNA is filed under the name uncultured bacterium. RNAcentral describes it as "partial 16S ribosomal RNA". It matches the Rfam family "Bacterial small subunit ribosomal RNA", at positions 29 to 507 of the family's 1533-position model. The record is from RNAcentral.
AGUGAACGCUGGCGGCAGGCCUAACACAUGCAAGUCGAGCGGAAGAAGGGUGCUUGCUCGUGGAUUCAGCUGCGGACGGGUGGGUAGUGCCUAGGAAUCUGCCUGGUAGUUGGUUAUAACGUCCUGAAACGGGCGCUAAUACCGCAUACGUCCUGAGGGAGAAAGUGUGGGAUCUUCGGACCUCACGCUAUCAGAUGAGCCUAGGUCGGAUUAGCUAGUUGGUGGGGUAAAGGCCUACCAAGGCGACGAUCCGUAGCUGGUCUGAGAGGAUGAUCAGUCACACUGGAACUGAGACACGGUCCAGACUCCUACGGGAGGCAGCAGUGGGGAAUAUUGGACAAUGGGCGCAAGCCUGAUCCAGCCAUGCCGCGUGUGUGAAGAAGGUCUUCGGAUUGUAAAGCCCUUUUGGUUGGGAGGAAAGGCAGUAAGUUAAUACCUUGCUGUUUUGACGUUACCAACAGAAUAAGCACCGGCUAACUUCGUG